Molecule: ribosomal RNA, 769 nt
Filed under: uncultured Streptococcus sp.
Lineage: Bacteria; Bacillati; Bacillota; Bacilli; Lactobacillales; Streptococcaceae
Description: bacterial SSU rRNA
Rfam family: Bacterial small subunit ribosomal RNA
Source: RNAcentral
GACGAACGCNGGCGGCGUGCCUAAUACAUGCAAGUCGAGCGAAGUUUUUCUGGUGCUUGCACUAGAAAAACUUAGCGGCGAACGGGUGAGUAACACGUAAAGAACCUGCCUCAUAGACGGGGACAACUAUUGGAAACGAUAGCUAAUACCGGAUAACAGCAUAAAUCGCAUGAUAUAUGUUUAAAAGUUGGUUUCGGCUAACACUAUGAGAUGGCUNUGCGGUGCAUUAGCUAGUUGGUGGGGUAAAGGCCUACCAAGGCGACGAUGCAUAGCCGACCUGAGAGGGUGAUCGGCCACACUGGGACUGAGACACGGCCCAGACUCCUACGGGAGGCAGCAGUAGGGAAUCUUCGGCAAUGGGGGCAACCCUGACCGAGCAACGCCGCGUGAGUGAAGAAGGUUUUCGGAUCGUAAAGCUCUGUUGUAAGUCAAGAACGAGUGUGAGAGUGGAAAGUUCACACUGUGACGGUAGCUUACCAGAAAGGGACGGCUAACUACGUGCCAGCAGCCGCGGUAAUACGUAGGUCCCGAGCGUUGUCCGGAUUUAUUGGGCGUAAAGCGAGCGCAGGCGGUUUGAUAAGUCUGAAGUUAAAGGCUGUGGCUCAACCAUAGUUCGCUUUGGAAACUGUCAAACUUGAGUGCAGAAGGGGAGAGUGGAAUUCCAUGUGUAGCGGUGAAAUGCGUAGAUAUAUGGAGGAACACCGGUGGCGAAAGCGGCUCUCUGGUCUGUAACUGACGCUGAGGCUCGAAAGCGUGGGGAGCGAACAGG